This 354-nucleotide ribosomal RNA is filed under the name uncultured Nitrososphaerota archaeon. RNAcentral's name for it is "bacterial SSU rRNA". It matches the Rfam family "Archaeal small subunit ribosomal RNA", at positions 474 to 828 of the family's 1478-position model. The record is from RNAcentral. Lineage: Archaea; Thermoproteati; Nitrososphaerota.
AACCAGCACCUCAAGUGGUCAGGAUGAUUAUUGGGCCUAAAGCAUCCGUAGCCGGCUCUGUAAGUUUUCGGUUAAAUCUGUACGCUUAACGUACAGGCUGCCGGGAAUACUGCAGAGCUAGGGAGUGGGAGAGGUAGACGGUACUCGGUAGGAAGUGGUAAAAUGCUUUGAUCUAUCGAUGACCACCUGUGGCGAAGGCGGUCUACCAGAACACGUCCGACGGUGAGGGAUGAAAGCUGGGGGAGCAAACCGGAUUAGAUACCCGGGUAGUCCCAGCUGUAAACUAUGCAAACUCAGUGAUGCAUUGGCUUGUGGCCAAUGCAGUGCUGCAGGGAAGCCGUUAAGUUUGCCGCC